CAAUAGCGUAUAUUUAAGUUGCUGCAGUUAAAAAGCUCGUAGUUGGAUUUCGGGUGGGAAUGGCCGGUCCGCCGUUUCGGUGUGCACUUGCUACGCCCACCUUGCUGCCGGGGACGUGCUCUUGAGUUCACGCUCGGGACACGGAGUCGGCGAGGUUACUUUGAGUAAAUUAGAGUGUUCAAAGCAGGCCUACGCUCUGAAUACAUUAGCAUGGAAUAACACGAUAGGACUCUGGCCUAUCUUGUUGGUCUGUAGGACCGGAGUAAUGAUUAAGAGGGACAGUCGGGGGCACCCGUAUUUCAUUGUCAGAGGUGAAAUUCUUGGAUUUAUGAAAGACGAACUACUGCGAAAGCAUUUGCCAAGGAUGUUUUCAUUAA
This 377-nucleotide ribosomal RNA is filed under the name uncultured eukaryote. RNAcentral describes it as "partial 18S ribosomal RNA". It matches the Rfam family "Eukaryotic small subunit ribosomal RNA", at positions 592 to 976 of the family's 1831-position model. The record is from RNAcentral.